Molecule: long non-coding RNA, 380 nt
Organism: Caretta caretta (loggerhead turtle)
Lineage: Eukaryota; Metazoa; Chordata; Testudines; Cheloniidae
Source: RefSeq, a predicted model, not a curated record
UGGUGAUGUCUCCAUAGGACACAGAGCCAUCAGAAGGCCAGUACUGGGCACAUUUCUCCUGAGAAAGCAUGAGAGGUGACGAGUUUUUUUGUUGCUACAGAGUGGCGAAAACGUGAAACGACCAAAACAUCAGAAGCCUCUUUGGACCCCGGAGAACACCCGCUUUUAGGAUGUCAUAAUUCAGGAAUCCCUUAUUUGAGUCAGUUCAAAUUUUGUAGAAAAAUUUUACCCUGGGCCCAGACCUAAUCUACCAGUUUUAACGAUGAUGUAGCUUUUACUGUGGAUUUUAAGGAGAGGAGCAAAACCAGGCCUACACUGCAAUCUACAGUAUAGGUUGACAACUGCUGUUCCACAACCAAGAAACAUUCCUCCUUCUGACA